CCUACGGGUGGCAGCAGUCGAGAAUCAUUCACAAUGGGGGAAACCCUGAUGGUGCGACGCCGCGUGGGGGAAUGAAGGUCUUCGGAUUGUAAACCCCUGUCAUGUGGGAGCAAAUUAAAAAGAUAGUACCACAAGAGGAAGAGACGGCUAACUCUGUGCCAGCAGCCGCGGUAAUACAGAGGUCUCAAGCGUUGUUCGGAAUCACUGGGCGUAAAGGGUGCGUAGGCUGUUUCGUAAGUCGUCUGUGAAAGGCGCGGGCUCAACCCGCGGACGGCACAUGAUACUGCGAGACUAGAGUAAUGGAGGGGGAACCGGAAUUCUCGGUGUAGCAGUGAAAUGCGUAGAUAUCGAGAGGAGCACUCGUGGCGAAGGCGGGUUCCUGGACAUUAACUGACGCUGAGGCACGAAGGCCAGGGGAGCGAAAGGGAUUAGAUACCCCGGUAAUC
Molecule: ribosomal RNA, 446 nt
Filed under: uncultured bacterium
Lineage: Bacteria
Description: partial 16S ribosomal RNA
Rfam family: Bacterial small subunit ribosomal RNA
Source: RNAcentral